This 431-nucleotide ribosomal RNA is filed under the name uncultured bacterium. RNAcentral's name for it is "bacterial SSU rRNA". It matches the Rfam family "Bacterial small subunit ribosomal RNA", at positions 29 to 506 of the family's 1533-position model. The record is from RNAcentral.
ACGAACGCUGGCGGCAUGCCUAACACAUGCAAGUCGAACGAAGGCUUCGGCCUUAGUGGCGCACGGGUGCGUAACGCGUGGGAAUCUGCCCUUGGGUUCGGAAUAACAGUGAGAAAUUACUGCUAAUACCGGAUGAUGACUUCGGUCCAAAGAUUUAUCGCCCAAGGAUGAGCCCGCGUAAGAUUAGCUAGUUGGUGAGGUAAAGGCUCACCAAGGCGACGAUCUUUAGCUGGUCUGAGAGGAUGAUCAGCCACACUGGGACUGAGACACGGCCCAGACUCCUACGGGAGGCAGCAGUGGGGAAUAUUGGACAAUGGGCGAAAGCCUGAUCCAGCAAUGCCGCGUGAGUGAUGAAGGCCUUAGGGUUGUAAAGCUCUUUUACCAGGGAUGAUAAUGACAGUACCUGGAGAAUAAGCUCCGGCUAACUCCGU